Molecule: signal recognition particle RNA, 289 nt
Filed under: Vombatus ursinus (common wombat)
Lineage: Eukaryota; Metazoa; Chordata; Mammalia; Diprotodontia; Vombatidae
Description: Metazoan signal recognition particle RNA (ENSVURG00010009767.1)
Rfam family: Metazoan signal recognition particle RNA
About the family: The signal recognition particle (SRP) is a universally conserved ribonucleoprotein. It is involved in the co-translational targeting of proteins to membranes. The eukaryotic SRP consists of a 300-nucleotide 7S RNA and six proteins: SRPs 72, 68, 54, 19, 14, and 9.
Source: Rfam by way of RNAcentral
GGGUAUGGUGAGACAGGCCUGUAAUCCCUGUACCUGGGGAGGCUCAGACUGGCAGAUCUUCUGAGCUUUGAAAGUUCUGAACUUCAGUGGGCUAAGCUGACUGGGUUUAAGCACUAAAUCUGGCAUUAAAAGGGUAAGCUCCCAGGAUCAAAGGCCAUUAGAUUGUCUAAGGAGGGGUGAACCAGCACAAGUUGGAAACAAAGCAGGUCAAAGCUCCCAAGCCAAAUAGAGGGCCUGUGAAUAGCCCCUAUAUGUCCAGCCUGGGAAAGAAAGGGAGACCCAGCUUUUU